This is a long non-coding RNA of Oncorhynchus gorbuscha (pink salmon), 1442 nucleotides long. RefSeq lists it as uncharacterized. The transcript has 3 exons. The record is from RefSeq and is a predicted model, not a curated record. Lineage: Eukaryota; Metazoa; Chordata; Actinopteri; Salmoniformes; Salmonidae.
GAAAUGUCUAUGCGAGUCUUGCUUCCACAGAAAGAACCCCAGCCCUGCUACUUUGAUAAACAACAACCCAAAAUAGCCAUAACUGACCAGCCGUUCCAGCGGCAUAGAACAAGUUCCAAACUGAGACGGUGCUGGGGGGCUGGAGGAGUGCUGGUGUCAUGGUGAACAAUGUUCCGGAAGGUCAAAAAGCAUCGCAGCAGCUCCCAAAGCAGUAAGAUCAGUACCAAGAGCAAGGAACAAGGCCAGGCCAUCUACAGGUGUUGUCCGCCUCGUCCAACUGUGUGCUGACAUCAGAGAAGUCCUGAAGAGCAGUUGCCCUCAGGGACGUGGUGGAGACGGGUAACACCAUGAACCAGUCGGGAGCCUGGAAACCAUAGUUUACAGCAGGAUCACAUCAGGGCCGUAGCACAGUCCGCAAGAUCCGAGCAAGGCUCCCGCCCAACCCCAGUCAUGGGGCAGAGAGAAAAAUGUGCAGUUGUAUAGCUGAUCUCAUGCCAUUUAACACAUUUUGCCAUGAGGCUGAGAAAAAAUGUUGCUGUUUUAGAGCUCAGGGAUUCUUGAAAGACGGGACAAUCUCAACUUUAUUAAAGAGCAUUUUAACAGCAAAAAAAACAGCAUUUUCAAUAUAUAUUUUAAUAGACCAAAGUAUCAGCUAUCACACCAUGUAAAGGAACAACCUAUUUUUAUUAUUAUUAUUAUUAUUUUUAAAUGACAUGUUUUCAUAAUGUCUACUCUGUCAGACACCAUACAUGGCAUUCCACUUACAAUUAUUAUCCAACAAGUGUUUAAAGGCCUUGGUUGUUUAAUUCUAACAUUUGAUUAUUCAAAUAUGUAAUACAAAUCUCCAAACUUAUUUUUGUUUUGUUUUAUAGCACUGUAUAAUGCUCCAGGUCUCAUUUAGUUAGCAUUUUGGCAUGUUUUUCUACAUUUAGGACAUUAUCAUUUAUGAGGCCAACAUUAUCCAUUAGGUCUAGCACAGCAAUUACUUCAAUUGUUUUUAAGCAUAUGGUGCAGAACAGUGAUUAAAAUAUUUGUGUCAGAAUAUUGACAACAAAAAAUGUAUAAUAAGGGCGUUAGCCAUCAGUGAUGGAGUUAACAAGCCACUGACAGACUUGACAACUGAUACUCAAAACAGACAUAUUUUUGCCUCUAAAAACAAAAGUUAAAUACAAAACAUUUUUAAAAUCUGGAAAAUUAUUUGAAAAUCCCCAAAAGAAACAACAUUCCUGUCAUAUCUUUCAGCACUCUGUUGACUUUAGACAAAAUUCAGAUCAAGUUGAUGGUUUACGGAGUUCACAAAAUGUUUAUUUUUGUACUUCAUUCAAGUAGUAUACACAGUAGCAAUUUAGUUUCUCCUAAGUUACUUUAUAACUCUAAAACCUAAUUAAAUGUGACAUUUGAACCAAAAUGAAUAUCCUAUCGUAAUCUAUCAGGCAUAUGGA